RNAcentral lists this ribosomal RNA (1403 nucleotides) under uncultured bacterium. RNAcentral's name for it is "bacterial SSU rRNA". It matches the Rfam family "Bacterial small subunit ribosomal RNA". The record is from RNAcentral.
AGAGUUUGAUCCUGGCUCAGGAUGAACGCUAGCGACAGGCUUAACACAUGCAAGUCGAGGGGCAGCGCGGUGGUGGCAACACCACCGGCGGCGACCGGCGCACGGGUGAGUAACACGUAUGCAACCUGCCCUCCACAGGGGGAUAAUCGGGAGAAAUCCCGUCUAAUACCGCAUAACGCCAACCGGGGGCAUCCCCGGUUGGCCAAAGGAGCGAUCCGGUGGGGGCUGGGCAUGCGCCGCAUUAGCCAGUUGGCGGGGUAACGGCCCACCAAGGCGACGAUGCGUAGGGGUUCUGAGAGGAAGGUCCCCCACACUGGUACUGAGACACGGACCAGACUCCUACGGGAGGCAGCAGUGAGGAAUAUUGGUCAAUGGGCGGAAGCCUGAACCAGCCAAGUCGCGUGAGGGAAGACGGUCCUAUGGAUUGUAAACCUCUUUUGUCGGGGAGCAAGGGGCGCCACGAGUGGUGUCAAGCGAGAGUACCCGAAGAAAAAGCAUCGGCUAACUCCGUGCCAGCAGCCGCGGUAAUACGGAGGAUGCGAGCGUUAUCCGGAUUUAUUGGGUUUAAAGGGUGCGUAGGCGGGACGCCAAGUCAGCGGUAAAAUGUCGGGGCUCAACCCCGUUGUGCCGUUGAAACUGUCCUGCUAGAGUUCGAGUGAGGUAUGCGGAAUGCGUUGUGUAGCGGUGAAAUGCAUAGAUAUGACGCAGAACUCCGAUUGCGAAGGCAGCAUACCAACUCGCGACUGACGCUGAGGCUCGAAAGCGUGGGUAUCGAACAGGAUUAGAUACCCUGGUAGUCCACGCAGUAAACGAUGAAUACUAACUGUUCGGAGGGCGACCUCUGAGUGGUAAAGCGAAAGCGUUAAGUAUUCCACCUGGGGAGUACGCCGGCAACGGUGAAACUCAAAGGAAUUGACGGGGGCCCGCACAAGCGGAGGAACAUGUGGUUUAAUUCGAAGCAACGCGAAGAACCUUACCAGGUCUUGACAUCCCGAUGACCGCUUCUUAAUCGAAGCUUUUCUUCGGAACAUCGGAGACAGGUGGUGCAUGGUUGUCGUCAGCUCGUGUCGUGAGAUGUUGGGUUAAGUCCCGCAACGAGCGCAACCCCUAUUUUCAGUAGCCAGCAUUUUGGAUGGGCACUCUGGAGGGACUGCCCGGGAUAACCGGGAGGAAGGUGGGGAUGACGUCAAAUCAUCAUGCCCCUUAUGAUCUGGGCUACACACGUGCUACAAUGGCUGUUACAGAGAGAAGCGAAUCCGCGAGGAAGAGCAAACCUCAAAAAGGCAGUCUCAGUUCGGAUUGUAGUCUGCAACUCGACUACAUGAAGCUGGAAUCGCUAGUAAUCGCGAAUCAGAAUGUCGCGGUGAAUACGUUCCCGGGUCUUGCACACACCGCCCGUCAAG